UUUUUUUUCAGGCAAGAGAACACAUGACAUGGAGGAGUAUAAUUUCAGCCAAUCUUCCCUGGAGCAGGUGUUCCUUGAGUUUGCUAAACGUCAGUUGGAUGAAAACGCCACUGCACACGAGCGAGAGAAUGAAACAAAUGAACUCACACAAUCCAUACGGCGACGUACGACGUCCAAGGAGGCCAAUGGAGAGAGUCCGUCACAUACCACUAUUUCUGUUCCGUUAUAGUGGUCAAGGAAUCCAAGUAAUCAUGUACUUUUGUUGUAUUGAACUGGUAUAUUAAUUGUUAUGGUUUAUAUACUGUAGCCUAAUGCUUUUUAAAAGCGAAUCAGAAAUAUUAAAAAGAACAUUCCCUGGUGGUGUCAUUUAGGUGCUUUGAAACCUGAAUCAGUUGGAAUGCUUUAAUAGUGCUGAUAUAAAAUUGUUUUUUAUUUAUAAAGCCAUCAUUUUUAAAUCCUACUUUUAUCAUUGAUAUGUGAUACAUGUACAUAAAUAUUAUAUUGAUUUCCAUCCAUUGGGUGUAUUCUUGAAUUAUUAUUUUUAUCGUAUUAUUUAUGUUGAUGACAAAGUGUGAUUUUUUUCUAGAGAAAUAGUUUAAUGAAUUUUAUCAGAAUGUUAUGCAUGUAUUCUUGAAAUCCAGUAGCAUUUAUAUUUGUGGAUAUAAACCUAAAGCCAUACAGAACAAGUUUACAGAAAUUAAAAUUGUAUUAAUUGUAUAUAUUUAUGACCUAUUUCCAUUAUCUGACGGAAUAUUAAUUUUGUCAAUUGACAUCAUUAUUAAUGCAUCCAUAAAAAUUUUAAACAAAUUUCACAAUCAAACAAAAUUUUCAAUGUGGAGUGAUUUAAUUCGUCAAGGUAUUUAUUGGAAUGAGUUUUAAUUUACCCUAGAAUGAAAUUAUGAUAGUGUCAAUGUUGUUUGAAAAUGGAAAAAAUAAAUC
Saccostrea cuccullata (small rock oyster) is the source of this 939-nucleotide long non-coding RNA. RefSeq lists it as uncharacterized. The record is from RefSeq and is a predicted model, not a curated record. Lineage: Eukaryota; Metazoa; Mollusca; Bivalvia; Ostreida; Ostreidae. The transcript has 2 exons.